Molecule: ribosomal RNA, 118 nt
Filed under: Oryctolagus cuniculus (rabbit)
Lineage: Eukaryota; Metazoa; Chordata; Mammalia; Lagomorpha; Leporidae
Source: RNAcentral
GUCUAUAGCCAUACCACCCUGAAUGCGCCCAAUCUCUUCUGAUCUUGGAAGCUAAGCAGAGUCAGACUUGAUUAGUACUUAGAAGGUAGACUCAGGUUUGAAGUGAGGGCAUUUGCCU